Cucurbita pepo subsp. pepo (vegetable marrow) is the source of this 1040-nucleotide non-coding RNA. Lineage: Eukaryota; Viridiplantae; Streptophyta; Magnoliopsida; Cucurbitales; Cucurbitaceae. The record is from RefSeq and is a predicted model, not a curated record.
AUGCCACAUCGCCUAAUGAUCUGCAUCAUACAUUUGAUAGAGGCUUCGUUCAAGAAUCAAUUAAGCAGAACAGCCAAAGAUUCCGGACACACACUAAGGGAGGAUUAGUUAUGAAUCCGCUGGCUGACGUUGAGAAUGAUCUUAGAGAGAACUUGGGACAGUAUCCAAAAAGAUUACUGAAGACUGUAAUCCAAGAGGAUGACAGUGUGCCUAUUUACAAAUAGCUGCAAACCUCGUCUGCAGAUUCUGAACUAAAAUUACCCGUUUCUGAAGGCUUUCCUCAAUCAGGGUGGUCCUGGAAAGGCGAAAGCGAUGAAUGACAGAGUUAUUAUGGACGGAUCUUGCGAAGUAUGACUUCUCAGACAUGGCAUUAACCUCAAGGUUGAAAGAAGGUCUUUUGGGGCUAUUUAUGAGCAUACAUGCAUGCUUCACGAAGGUCCUUUUCGAUUACAAUGGGUGAUUGCCAGAGCCUGUCUUCUUUGCCACGUGAAACUGACAGAAACAGUAAGAUCCUUCUUACUAUUUACUCCGUCUUUUGUUUUUAAUCUGAGGCUGCUUCUUGUCACUUCUCUGUCUCACUCCUGGAAAAAAGAGCUAAUGGUUUUGUUUGUAUUAACAUAAAAUCAAGCAUACCUCUGUUUUAGGUUGUUGAAUUACUAGCCCAAGCCAAAGAAUUAUGAGUCAAAAAUACCAAAAGGGGAAGAAUUUGGACAGCCUAGAACCAAAAGUAGGCCAGACCAUCUACCACCCACACCCAUAUAAUUAAUGGCCGGCCAUGCACCAUUGCUGAAAAGUUUGACAUUAUAAUCCCUUUUCACAUUAUCAAAUGGAGGAUGCCUAGAACCAAUAUAUGACUAUUUUUCUUUUUGUAAUUUAUGCUAAUAUUUAUUUCAUGUGUGAACAAGUAUAUGUGUUGAACGAUUUGAAUAAGUGAGGAAAAAAAAAGCUGUGUAUUACAUGUUUCUUCCAAAUUCUUGUGAACAGUCAAUGUUAUUCAUUUGAGUCUUGUGAUUGUGUAUAAUUUUAAUUAUCUUUGUGAA